AGGUUCUGUACCUCAAGUGAUAGUGAAGGCAGUAGGGAAAAGGACGAUGUUUGGUUUCUGGUCUUCCUUUCUACCCGACAGUCCUUCAACAGCCUACGUACCUCAGAACCAGACCGUUCUUACAUCAAUUUUAAAAGAUCCAUCCCUACAGGUACGAGCUGGAGCCUUGGCAUUUCUCACAGAACUUCUCGAAGGAUCAAAACCGUUCCUGUCUUUAGCUGAAGAAAG
Molecule: long non-coding RNA, 228 nt
Organism: Limulus polyphemus (Atlantic horseshoe crab)
Lineage: Eukaryota; Metazoa; Arthropoda; Merostomata; Xiphosura; Limulidae
Exons: 3
Source: RefSeq, a predicted model, not a curated record